Molecule: ribosomal RNA, 492 nt
Filed under: uncultured bacterium
Lineage: Bacteria
Description: partial 16S ribosomal RNA
Rfam family: Bacterial small subunit ribosomal RNA
Source: RNAcentral
AGUGAACGCUGGCGGUAGGCCUAACACAUGCAAGUCGAACGGCAGCACAGUAAGAGCUUGCUCUUACGGGUGGCGAGUGGCGGACGGGUGAGGAAUACAUCGGAAUCUACUUUUUCGUGGGGGAUAACGUAGGGAAACUUACGCUAAUACCGCAUACGACCUACGGGUGAAAGCAGGGGUUCUUCGGACCUUGCGCGAUUGAAUGAGCCGAUGUCGGAUUAGCUAGUUGGCGGGGUAAAGGCCCACCAAGGCGACGAUCCGUAGCUGGUCUGAGAGGAUGAUCAGCCACACUGGAACUGAGACACGGUCCAGACUCCUACGGGAGGCAGCAGUGGGGAAUAUUGGACAAUGGGCGCAAGCCUGAUCCAGCCAUACCGCGUGGGCGAAGAAGGCCUUCGGGUUGUAAAGCCCUUUUGUUGGGAAAGAAAAGCAGCAGGUUAAUACCCCGCUGUUCUGACGGUACCCAAAGAAUAAGCACCGGCUAACUUCGUG